RNAcentral lists this ribosomal RNA (628 nucleotides) under Ceroplastes sp. IMV-2016. Its description in RNAcentral is "bacterial SSU rRNA". It matches the Rfam family "Eukaryotic small subunit ribosomal RNA", at positions 24 to 559 of the family's 1831-position model. The record is from RNAcentral. Lineage: Eukaryota; Metazoa; Arthropoda; Insecta; Hemiptera; Coccidae.
UCAUAUGCUUGUCUCAAAGAUUAAGCCAUGCAUGUCUAAGUACAAGCUGUCUCGUACAGUGAAACUGCGAAAGGCUCAUUAAAUCAGUUAUGGUUCCUUAGAUCGUACCCACGUUACAUGGAUAACUGUGGUAAUUCUAGAGCUAAUACAUGCCGACAGAGCUCCGACCAGCGCGUCGUCGUUCGGCGGUUCGCCCGUCGUCGUCGGCCGUUCGGAAGGAGCGCUUUUAUUAGAUCAAAACCGGCCAAGCGUUCGGAUUGCGCUUCGCGCGCACAUUCGGACGUAAGUGGCCCGCGCAAAGACUUGACGACUCUGAAUAACUUCGAGCUGAUCGCACGGUCCUCGUACCGGCGACGUAUCUUUCAAAUGUCUGCCUUAUCAACUGUCGACGGUAGGUUCUACGCCUACCGUGGUGGUAACGGGUAACGGGGAAUCAGGGUUCGAUUCCGGAGAGGGAGCCUGAGAAACGGCUACCACAUCCAAGGAAGGCAGCAGGCACGAAAAUUAUCCAUUCAGGACUCCUGGAGAUAGUGACGAAAAAUAACGAUACGGGACUCAUCCGAGGCCCCGUAAUCGGAAUGAGUACACUUUAAAACCUUGGUCACACGAGGAUCAAUUGGAGGGCAAG